UACGUACUGUGCGAACGUUAUUCGGAAUCACUGGGCUUAAAGGGUGCGUAGGCGGUCAAUUAAGUAGGGUGUGAAAGCUCUCGGCUCAACCGAGGAAAUGCGCUCUAAACUGAUUGACUUGAGUGAGAUAGGGGUGUGCGGAACUUCCGGUGGAGCGGUGAAAUGUGUUGAUAUCGGAAGGAACACCAGCAGCGAAAGCGGCACACUGGGUCUCAACUGACGCUGAGGCACGAAAGCUAGGGUAGCGAACGGG
This 253-nucleotide ribosomal RNA is filed under the name uncultured bacterium. RNAcentral describes it as "partial 16S ribosomal RNA". It matches the Rfam family "Bacterial small subunit ribosomal RNA", at positions 524 to 776 of the family's 1533-position model. The record is from RNAcentral.